UUAUUUUAUCAAAUACAAAAUGGAUAAAACUGAUGGCAUAAUUUGAAAUACAGUAAAUAUGAGUUGUAUAACAUAAUUGUGUAACCAUCACUGGAAAGUGCCCUUCGGGUAACAGGUGCCACAGAAAUGGCAACAGUGGCGAACCGGGUGGCACGUCAAGCCUUUCUAAAGGCUAAAACUGUGCAAAAUUCAACUCAGGCUAAUUUUGGCAGUUUUAAUAAUCCUACACCAAAAGGAGCUAAGAUUGUUGGUUUAAUAGCUGGUGCCACAGCAGC
This is a long non-coding RNA of Saccostrea cuccullata (small rock oyster), 275 nucleotides long. RefSeq lists it as uncharacterized. The record is from RefSeq and is a predicted model, not a curated record. Lineage: Eukaryota; Metazoa; Mollusca; Bivalvia; Ostreida; Ostreidae. The transcript is spliced from 3 exons.